Molecule: RNA transcript, 848 nt
Organism: Lotus japonicus
Lineage: Eukaryota; Viridiplantae; Streptophyta; Magnoliopsida; Fabales; Fabaceae
Gene name: serine carboxypeptidase-like 35
Exons: 2
Source: RefSeq, a predicted model, not a curated record
CUAAGUUAAUUAGAGUAUCCAAUAAAGAAACACUCAAGUAUAUAUAAUAACACUACACUAGCUACCGUCUACUUCACUUUCUCAUGCUCCAACAUCCAAUGGCCACUUUCUGGACCUCACUAUUCUACUGUCUCCUCCUCACCACCGUGGCAGCCGCCGCCACUGGAAGAGAAUACUCCGGUGAGGAGGCACGACAGCAGGACGCUGAUAGAGUGAAGAACUUGCCAGGGCAGCCGCCAGUGAAAUUCAGACACUAUGCUGGUUAUGUGAAGCUAAGGCCACAAGAAGAGAAGGCAUUGUUCUACUGGUUCUUUGAAGCUCAGGAAGCUCCUUCACAAAAGCCUCUUGUGCUUUGGCUUAAUGGAGCCCAAUGGGCCUGCAAAAAAACAGAGCAUUGCAGUUUGUAAAAUUGUGAUAGUAGGCAAUGGAAUAGAAGCAUAUGCGAAGCUUUGAGGCACGACAGAGUAGAAUGGGUGGGUCCGAGUUGGCUACGUUGAUGGAUUUGUGCUGUUGAAUUUGGAUCAAUAAUUCCAGUAAAAGCUGCCUAAUUUCAUCAAAUUAGCAUUACCAGGAAACGAGAUAAUGUAAUGUUGAUAGGUAGCCUACAAGGUGUUUGUAGAAAUGCUGCUGUGGCAUUGCCAGUAAUAGUUUAGCAUUACUUGUAUUGAUUAAGCCACUCUUUUUCUCUGCCAGAACAUUUGCAGUAUCUACAACUCAAUGUGCAUGAAAAGCAUGUUCGGUGGUUGUCAAUAGGAGCAUCUACAACCUUUUUAUAAACUUCAGCACUUUUCUAGAGGGUGUUGCUUUUUGGACUAGCAUUUUUUUUCUUUAUGCACCACUAUAGAGUU